GAUGAACGCUGGCGGCGUGCCUAAUACAUGCAAGUCGAGCGAACAGACGAGGAGCUUGCUCCUCUGACGUUAGCGGCGGACGGGUGAGUAACACGUGGAUAACCUACCUAUAAGACUGGGAUAACUUCGGGAAACCGGAGCUAAUACCGGAUAAUAUAUUGAACCGCAUGGUUCAAUAGUGAAAGACGGUUUUGCUGUCACUUAUAGAUGGAUCCGCGCCGCAUUAGCUAGUUGGUAAGGUAACGGCUUACCAAGGCAACGAUGCGUAGCCGACCUGAGAGGGUGAUCGGCCACACUGGAACUGAGACACGGUCCAGACUCCUACGGGAGGCAGCAGUAGGGAAUCUUACGCAAUGGGCGAAAGCCUGAUGGAGCAACGCCGCGUGAGUGAUGAAGGUCUUCGGAUCGUAAAACUCUGUUAUUAGGGAAGAACAAAUGUGUAAGUAACUAUGCACGUCUUGACGGUACCUAAUCAGAAAGCCACGGCUAACUACGUG
This 497-nucleotide ribosomal RNA is filed under the name uncultured bacterium. Its description in RNAcentral is "partial 16S ribosomal RNA". It matches the Rfam family "Bacterial small subunit ribosomal RNA", at positions 28 to 507 of the family's 1533-position model. The record is from RNAcentral.